RNA transcript from Quercus lobata, 1154 nucleotides. RefSeq lists it as uncharacterized. NCBI's taxonomy places the organism in Eukaryota, Viridiplantae, Streptophyta, Magnoliopsida, Fagales, Fagaceae. The record is from RefSeq and is a predicted model, not a curated record. The transcript has 4 exons.
AAAAAGUUCUAGAGUGCUUUGACCUAUUAUUAAUUCUUACAUGUAUUGUUUCAAUUUUCAUAAGCAGCACCAUUUAUUCAGAUAAAUAUUAAAGGAGCUAGAAAAAAAUUUCAUAGUUUCUUUGAUUUAUAAAUAUUCAACCUGCAGAAAGGACAACCAUACUACUAGAAUGCCCAUUCGGACACCAAUGGAGCAGCAGAAGCAGCCACAGCAGCAGCAAAAGGAUGUUAGCGAACGGGGCACUAAUUGCAAUGAAGGCAAAGUCUCCAGCCAUGUACCAGAAGAGCCACACAAUCCCAACCUUACAAAGAUAUCGACUGUGAACAACCAAUCAGAUACAAAUCCAAAGUUAUCAGAAGAGAAAAAGAAUCCAAAGGAUUUGACAAAAGAGCAGCCCAAGGCACAACUGCUAGAAGAGAACCGUAUUCCAAAGGUUACAAACCAUUGGUCUUUGUACCAAAUGGCAUUUCCACACUCUCGAAUAAGGGUUGGAAUUUUUGGUUACUUGUUCAACCUUCACAGAUGUAUGAUAAUAUGAGUAAUAUUUAUACAUCUCAAAAAGAGAAAAAAGAAAAAACUCCUACAGUUUUUGUAAAAUCUUGGGCCUGCAUGCAGCCAAGCAAGAAAAUAUCAACAAAUAUACAAGUGAUCAGAAGAUUGCUACGGAUAGCCCUCCAGAAUCGUUUAAAAAGCAAAAGAAGGACGACCAGAAAGAUGGACAGCAGAGUAAUACAGUAACUGCAACAACCAUGUGCUGUUGCUGCUCCAUAUUAUAGACCAACAAGUUCGAAGCUAUUCUCGGAUGUGAUACAGUGGCUGUGUGUAAACAAUGGAUUGCUAGAGGCUAGGUGCAUUAACGGUGAGGAUUUGCCUUCCAAAGUCAAUUGCAACUGAUGUUACGGUGAGAAUGACUUCUUGUAAGAAUGUACAAGGACGAUGCUGAUCACGAGACUUGUUGCUUUUUGAAACAACCUGGCUUCUUAAUGUCAUAGUUUGAUUAGCAAUAUUUCUUAGUUAGGAAGUUUUGUCCAAUAAUGUUUAGUUCUAACAUUGGUCUGUACAGUUGAUUUGUUGGCAGCCAAAGCUGCUGCUUCUUUGUUAACGGAUAUUUCAGUUUGGUUCCUACAAUGACUUAAAAAUUCUCAGUCAUCCCU